RNAcentral lists this ribosomal RNA (539 nucleotides) under Meloidogyne sp. 08_c5. RNAcentral's name for it is "eukaryotic LSU rRNA". The stretch from base 252 to 405 matches the Rfam family "5.8S ribosomal RNA". Lineage: Eukaryota; Metazoa; Nematoda; Chromadorea; Rhabditida; Meloidogynidae. The record is from RNAcentral.
UAGCUGUAGGUGAACCUGCUGCUGGAUCAUUACUUUAUGUGAUGUUCAAAUUUGAAUUCGCAACAAAAAUAUACUGUUGUGAACCGGCUGUCGCUGGUGUCUAGGUGUUGCUGAUACAGUUGUUAACGUCCGUGGCUGUAUAUGUGGUGACAUGUUAGGACUCUUUAAUGAGUUUAAGACUUAAUGAGCCUCUUAAGUGAGGACGCCAGCACUCUUUUUUUCUCUAUAUUUUUUAAAAAAACGAAAAUUUCUAGCCUUAUCGGUGGAUCACUCGGCUCGUGGAUCGAUGAAGAACGCAGCAAACUGCGAUAAUUUGUGCGAACUGCAGAAACCUUGAGCACAAAAGUUUUGAACGCAUAUUGCAGCAUUGGGGUCAAACCCUUUGCUACGUCUUGUUCAGGGUCAUUUUCUUUUAAAGCGAAAGCUUUAAUUUAUAUAUGCUAUUGAUGCUUUAUAUUUUAAGAGGUUUGUUGUUUGUCAUAAUUUUAUAAAUAUAACUACAAAAAUCAAGCAACUUUGACCUGAACUCAGUCGAGAGC